RNAcentral lists this ribosomal RNA (266 nucleotides) under uncultured bacterium. RNAcentral's name for it is "partial 16S ribosomal RNA". It matches the Rfam family "Bacterial small subunit ribosomal RNA", at positions 524 to 792 of the family's 1533-position model. The record is from RNAcentral.
UACAUGUGGGGCAAGCGUUGUUCGGAAUUACUGGGCAUAAAGGGUGCGUAGGCGGUUUGUUAAGUCACUGGUGAAAGUUUUCGGCCCAACCGGAAAAUUGCCUGUGAUACUGGCGAACUUGAGUGCGUGAGGGUGGGGGAACGAGCAGUGUAGCGGUGAAAUGCGUAGAUAUUGCUCGGAAGGCCGGAGCCGAAGGGGCCCCACUGGUACGUAACUGACGCUGAGGCACGAAAGCGUGGGGAGCAAACAGGAUAGAAACCCCGGUA